This 558-nucleotide ribosomal RNA is filed under the name Bifidobacterium animalis subsp. lactis. RNAcentral's name for it is "bacterial SSU rRNA". It matches the Rfam family "Bacterial small subunit ribosomal RNA", at positions 162 to 719 of the family's 1533-position model. Lineage: Bacteria; Bacillati; Actinomycetota; Actinomycetes; Bifidobacteriales; Bifidobacteriaceae. The record is from RNAcentral.
GGUAAUACCGGAUGCUCCGCUCCAUCGCAUGGUGGGGUGGGAAAUGCUUUUGCGGCAUGGGAUGGGGUCGCGUCCUAUCAGCUUGUUGGCGGGGUGAUGGCCCACCAAGGCGUUGACGGGUAGCCGGCCUGAGAGGGUGACCGGCCACAUUGGGACUGAGAUACGGCCCAGACUCCUACGGGAGGCAGCAGUGGGGAAUAUUGCACAAUGGGCGCAAGCCUGAUGCAGCGACGCCGCGUGCGGGAUGGAGGCCUUCGGGUUGUAAACCGCUUUUGUUCAAGGGCAAGGCACGGUUUCGGCCGUGUUGAGUGGAUUGUUCGAAUAAGCACCGGCUAACUACGUGCCAGCAGCCGCGGUAAUACGUAGGGUGCGAGCGUUAUCCGGAUUUAUUGGGCGUAAAGGGCUCGUAGGCGGUUCGUCGCGUCCGGUGUGAAAGUCCAUCGCCUAACGGUGGAUCUGCGCCGGGUACGGGCGGGCUGGAGUGCGGUAGGGGAGACUGGAAUUCCCGGUGUAACGGUGGAAUGUGUAGAUAUCGAAAAAGAAACCACCACCCCCUUU